RNAcentral lists this transfer RNA (72 nucleotides) under Caudoviricetes sp. RNAcentral describes it as "tRNA-Glu". It matches the Rfam family "tRNA". From Rfam's summary of the family: Transfer RNA (tRNA) molecules are approximately 80 nucleotides in length. The record is from RNAcentral. Lineage: Duplodnaviria; Heunggongvirae; Uroviricota; Caudoviricetes.
GGCGGUGUAGUCAAGCGGCAAAGACACGAGACCUUCAAUCUCGUAACGAGAGUUCGACCCUCUCCACCGUCA